GUCAGAGGAGAAGGUAGGUGUGUCAGAUGGGGCACGGGUGGUUUUUGGGGCGCCAAGCUGUCCGCAGGAGCCCGAUGGGGCUGGGGAUACUGACUGCAUCCCGCACCCGGGACCUCCCCCACCCAAAGCCCCAGGGGAUGCUCACAGCUCAAGUCGAGCUGGUAUUGGGGGGUGUGUGUGUGUCCCCCCAAAAAAAGAAGCGGGGGAGAUGCCUGGGGAAGGUCUCCAGCCCAGUUUGGGAAGGACAUUUUGGACCAUCCAGGGUGCUCCAAGCACAGGUCUGGGGAGGGGGACGCUGCUCUGAUGCCAGCUGCCCCAUGGAGGGGAGCAGAAGGGAUGGGGCUGAUGUAAAAGGGUCCAGCGUGAUAGGUGGGGAGGGUGUUGGGGUCCCUGGACCCACAGAAGCCCCCCCCCCCGUCACCUCUUUGCACCCUAUUAGGGCAGAGGGAGUGAAAAGCAGACAGGGUCCCCCCUAGGGAUGCGAGGCGGGGGGCCCGGGCCCCGCGCAGUUCCUGGUACAGCCCCUGCCUUCUGCGUACCCAGCUAAAUUUAGCACCCUCCCCCCGCCACCACUGCUCAGCCGGUGCCGGAUCUGGCCCUUCUUGAAGCCAAUCUCACCAUCAGAGGAAAAUCCGGUGGGGGGGGGGGGACACAGCCCCACACUGGGGCUGGUGGCACCAGGGACCCCAAUUCAGCAAAGCACUUGCUACACUCAGUAUGGGGGGGGUGGUGCUAAAGCCCCCCAGAGGUGAUGUGGGGGGGGAAGGACUUCACCCCAGCGGUGCAAAAUUGGGUGGGCACCUGCCCUAAUGCCCUUUCCCCCUUUUUUUAUCUCUGGGGGUGGGGGCACUGGCAGGGAGCAGGGAUGUGCCAUGGGCUACUCUGAACACACAUGACAGGGGGGUGGUUAGAAAUAGCAGCAGUGGGGGGAAACGGUCUGGGGGCGCACAUCCCCCCCACUAGACCCCCAGAGCAAAAUUCCCCUGAGGCUGCACGGGGAGGGGGGGUAGGUGUAUGGGGUGCAUGCGUGGAGGGGCUUCACCCCACCGGGUUAAAUCCAUCGCGGAUCCCUGUCGCCCUCGGAGCCGCAGCUCCCGCGGGAUGCGGGGCACAGCCGCGCCGCUCGGGGGGAUGCCGGGGCAGCAUCUGCUGCCUCCAGCAACGGGGGUUCGGGGAGUCGCUUCUGGUGGGGGACAGCUCCUGCACCUCCCCCUGCCCGGGGGGUUAUCCCAGGAUUUGCCCUAGCCGGUGCUCAGCAGCCCCGGCUGCUCCCCAGCGCACACAAGUGUCCGAAUCCUUCUUACAGAUUCCUCCUCACCCCCAUCCCAGCGACUGCUGGGAGCAGAGGAGCAGCCGGGCACACUGCAGGUGCCCCCCGCUCCCCACUGCUGCAGCCGGGGGGGGGUCCCAGCCCGGCCUAUUCGAAGGUGGGGUGCUCCUCCAGCCUUGGGGAAACCCGUGCUGGCAGCAGGAUGGAUGAGCUCCCAUCAGCGUGCAGAGCUGGUGCACCCCAAAAAUGCAGUUACAGGCAGGCUGGCACUGAAAGGGCUCGUGGCAAGUGGGGACGUUCCUCCUUCACCACACACAGACUUUGGGAGAGCUCAUUUCAGAGAUCACCUCAAAACAGUGGAGCUGCUCGGUUGUCAGAGGGUCAGUCCCACCGUGAGCUGCUGCACCGACACACCAAACAGCUCUGGUGAGUCCCUUCCCCACAGCCCAGACCCACGGGGGUUUUGCCGGGUGUGGGGAGCCUCCCCUCUGGGGGGGGGGGGGGGAGGUGACGUGCCACCCCACGCCAUAACACUGCUGCACUCACAGCUUUGUUCUCUGCCGCUUGAAAAAGAAAUAAAAAAGGCGACUGUGAAGCC
Molecule: long non-coding RNA, 1868 nt
Organism: Tyto alba (common barn owl)
Lineage: Eukaryota; Metazoa; Chordata; Aves; Strigiformes; Tytonidae
Exons: 2
Source: RefSeq, a predicted model, not a curated record